Molecule: long non-coding RNA, 1715 nt
Organism: Eriocheir sinensis (Chinese mitten crab)
Lineage: Eukaryota; Metazoa; Arthropoda; Malacostraca; Decapoda; Varunidae
Exons: 3
Source: RefSeq, a predicted model, not a curated record
AUCGAGUACAUCCAUAAUAACUAUACAUGCUAUUUUUUUUCUCGAAAAAAUAAAUAUUCACUUCAGAGAGAGAGAGAGAGAGAGUUUUCUUUACAGGAAAUUUAUUUGGGAAUUUCAUCAUAAGUCAUAGAUUAAAAAAAUACUCCUUCGGGUACUGGUACCGGUACCGGUACUAACGGUACCUGAGUUUUCGGUACCGGUACUACCGGUACUCAAAUUAACGGUACCAAUACCACAUGGGAAACACUCCACUAUCCACCACAGAGGCAGAGAAAGACAUGGAGUAUAGUUACCAGGCUUCAUGCAGUGAAAGCCAAAUCCGUGCCAAUCGCAGCAAAUGGGUUAAGAAACAUGAUCCCCGCUGCUACCACCGGGUUAAACCAAUACACAGGUGCAGGAGAGUGACAGGUGUAAAUGGGAAGAUGACUUGGCAAAUGAUACCACAGUGUACUGAAGCAUAACUACUUUUAUUUCCUAAAUCAGCUAUGUAUGAAUUUAGCUUGUUUAUAGUGUACAGUUUCAUAUUCAUAAACCUUGUAUUAUAAAAGGUUUGGUUAGAUUAUGAGGUAAGUGAGGUUAGGCAAAUUGAGUUAAUAUCUGUUGAACUCUUACUUACCUAACCUAAUCUUACCUUAUCUAGCCUAAUCUAGCCUAGUCUUACCUAACCUAAUUUAACCAUUGUUGCCUAGAAUAAUCCCUUACAGGUAAACAGCUUUUCAAGGGAGUUGGGUAUUUAUCUGUGGAAAUACUAAUAUUUUUUGUACAUGAAGCUGUGACUGUAACAAUGCAAUGCUUCCCAGCAGCUGUGUAUUUCUGCCACUUCAUCGAGAAAUAACUAGAACUUUGUUAACAUAAUAAAAUUCCGUACAGGUAAAAAAUGUUAGCAUCCAGAAGAAAUGAUGCAAACCUCUACUAAAUAUUUACUGAAGGCUUAACUUAGGGAAAUAAACCCUGGAACUAAGGGGCAGAAACCUUAAAACUCUCUGAUCUUCUUAACCCCUUGAUUGCAGAUUUCCUAGUCAGACCUCACCAAGCUACAGGAAUGGAACAAAAAGUGGCUGCUACAAUUCAAUGAAGAAAAAUGUAAAGUCCUGCACCUUGGGAGGGGAUAUCCAGCACACCAAUACCACAUGGGAAACAAUCCACUAUCCACCACAGAGGCAGAGAAGGACCUGGGAGUAUAUGUUACCGGGCUACCAGUAAAAGCCAAAUUCGUGCCAAUCGCAGUGGACGGGUUAUGAGGGAGAGAAAGUGAAGGAGUUACAAAUGCAUAGUUCCUUGAUACAUGAAACUCAUACACUAGGAGGCAAAAAAAAGGAUCCAUCCAUCUCAUCUCAUUAACAUAACUAUAGUCCUGAUAUUUCAACAGAUAUUUGUCAUUUGUCACAGACCACUUUGCCUACAGGCACUACAUAGACAGGUAUAUUUACCGACAUACAAGGGGUGUAGGUUAUCUCAUUUAUCACAUUUACUGACAUACAAGGGGUGUAGGUUAUCUCAUUUAUCACAUUUACUGACAUACAAGGGGUGUAGGUUAUCUCAUUUAUCACAUUUACUGACAUACAAGGGGUGUAGGUUAUCUCAUUUAUCACAUUUACUGACAUACAAGGGGUGUAGGUUACCUCAUUUAUCACAUUUACUGAUACAAGGGGGGCAGGCUAUCUCAUUUAUCACAUUUACUGACAUACAAGGAGGGCAGGCUAUCUCAUUAACAC